This 105-nucleotide microRNA precursor is filed under the name Medicago truncatula (barrel medic). RNAcentral describes it as "miRNA gene32214". It matches the Rfam family "MIR2587 microRNA precursor family". Lineage: Eukaryota; Viridiplantae; Streptophyta; Magnoliopsida; Fabales; Fabaceae. The record is from RNAcentral.
UUAUGGUGUCAUGUUUAUUGCUAACUGUUCAUAAAAUCCCGACAAUUACUUUGUAGCUUAUGCGGGGAUUUUACGACAGUCAACAAAGACCUUUGACAUUAAAUA